AAGCUCGUAGUUGAACCUAGGAAUCAAUGGGUCGGUCAUGCCAAUGGUAUGUACUGGCCUCUUUGGUUCUCACCUUCUAAGGAACCAUAAUGUCAUUUAUUUGAUGUUGUGGGAAAUUAGGACUGUUACCUUGAAAAAAUUAGAGUGUUUAAAGCAGGCCAACGCUUGAAUACAUUAGCAUGGAAUAAUGAAAUAGGACAUCGCAUUCUAUUUUGUUGGUUUCUAGGAUCGAUGUA
This 236-nucleotide ribosomal RNA is filed under the name uncultured Septoglomus. Its description in RNAcentral is "partial small subunit ribosomal RNA". It matches the Rfam family "Eukaryotic small subunit ribosomal RNA", at positions 624 to 864 of the family's 1831-position model. Lineage: Eukaryota; Fungi; Glomeromycota; Glomeromycetes; Glomerales; Glomeraceae. The record is from RNAcentral.